CGCCUCCCACCCGAGCCCCGGCGGCUGAUGCGCGUGAGGCCGAGCUUUUUGCCGGAAGGCACCAUCUUGGAAGCCGCCUUUGCCGCUUGCGCCCAGUGUAAAACUUCUCAACACUUCUAUUACGGAACAAUUAGUACUACUUGCCCGGGGGUGACGUUUUUCAGAUGCGCUGCCAACAGAACGACCUGUGUGAGGGCAUCACGCAAGCAUGACGUUCUGAAAAGAAGUCUGCAGCAAGAGCCCGGGCCCUGCGCAGCCGCCGACCCGCUACCCUGUCGCCCAGGGCAAGCUGGUGCCAGCGCUCCCAGUGUCGCCUGGAUGACAUAACGACAGAGUUCUUUAAAACUGUGUCCUCUUUUUACGAUUUAACCAAAAACUGUGAGACAGCUUUAAUCAGAAAAUAGAUUGCUUAUUGAAUAAAUACAUUAAUCAGGAGUUGAGCUAGUCAUUUUUUAAAAUUUGUAAUGCUUUAACAAAUGCUGUCACCUGUCAAAGCCACUUUUUAUUUUAUUUAUUUACUUUUGGCAGGGAAUCUAAAAGGGUCAUGAACUCUGACCCUGAAAUCAGACAUGCCUGGGUUGCACUCUACUCCAGUAAUUCUGCGAUCAUUGCUGCAAGUUAAUUAAGUUGUCUGUUCCUCAAUUUUCUUAUCUGUAAAAUGGGAAUAAUAUUAAAGUUGUUGAGAUGUUAGAAUUAAAUAAUUCCUGUUAAGAUCUAAGCCCGAUGCCUGGAACAUAGUAAGAAUUUAGUAAUGAAGCUAUUGGAAUUUGUGAAGAGAUCCAUUUUUAAAAAAAAAACAACAAAGCUACUGGUAUCAUUAUGGAGAAUUUUUUACUACAUUUAGCAGUUUUGUCAAUCAAUCUACAUUAUAUAUAAUUUGGUGCUAUCAGAUUUGGAAUAGAUAAUAAAAACUAAUAUUUAGCGAGCAUGCCAAAUUCUGUGAAUGCUCCAAAUGCAUAUGAAGUAUUUGGAACAUGCCUGUGACAGACCAAUUAAUAUCCCUAUUUUAUAAACAUGGUCACUGGAACACAGAGACUUAAGUAACUUGCUCAAGAUCACACCACCACUAAAUGGCAGAGCUAGUAGUUUGGGGAUUCUGACUCCACAACUGAGCUCUUAAUAACUAUACCAGGAGUGGGAAACCUACGUCCUUAAGGCUUCUAGGACCUUUAGUGCAGCCUUUUGACUGCAUCCAAAUUUAUAGAACAAAUUCUUUUAUUUUUACUAAUAUAUUUUUGUCUUUUAUAUUUUUAUUUUAUUUUUAAAAUGAACAUAUUUAAAAUAUCAAAGAAUACAACAAGUUUCAACAAAAUAAUCCUUCCAGAUUGACCAGCACAACUGGAACAUUAGUAAGCCAUAAGGGCUAAAUUGACGGGUGCUACACUCAUGAUUUAGUUCUAACUUCCCCCACCUGACUGGUGCCACUAUCACACGAAGCUGGUAGGUGAGAGUUUAUGGGGGUCUAGUACACCAGUCUCUUAUCAGCUUUUUUUUUUUUUUUUUUUUUUUGAGACAGAGUCUCACUUUGUUGCCCAGGCUAGAGUGAGUGCCGUGGCGUCAGCCUAGCUCACAGCAACCUCAAACUCCUGGGCUCAAGCGAUCCUCCUGCCUCAACCUCCCAAGUAGCUGGGACUACAGGCAUGCACCACCAUGCCCGGCUAAUUUUUUCUAUAUAUAUAUAGUUGGCCAAUUAAUUUCUUUCUAUUUAU
This is a long non-coding RNA of Microcebus murinus (gray mouse lemur), 1709 nucleotides long. The record is from Ensembl. Lineage: Eukaryota; Metazoa; Chordata; Mammalia; Primates; Cheirogaleidae.